UUCGUUGUUGAUGAAGUCUU
Molecule: microRNA, 20 nt
Filed under: Caenorhabditis briggsae
Lineage: Eukaryota; Metazoa; Nematoda; Chromadorea; Rhabditida; Rhabditidae
Also listed under: 1 other name
Description: cbr-miR-76
Gene: cbr-miR-76
Source: miRBase by way of RNAcentral